This is a non-coding RNA of Xyrichtys novacula (pearly razorfish), 1504 nucleotides long. The record is from the annotation of a GenBank genome assembly. NCBI's taxonomy places the organism in Eukaryota, Metazoa, Chordata, Actinopteri, Labriformes, Labridae.
UUCAUUUUUAAGAAAGAAAACUUUAUUAGUGAUUUAUUAACAAAACACAUUACCACUGUAUCCAUUUAGGUAAAAUAAAAAAAAAUGAGAAAGUAAAUGAAAUAAAUGAAAUUCACUACUUCACUGUCACAGUUGAUGAGCGGGUGUACAAAAAAAGGGUUUUACAACAGAUCUGGGCUAGUCCAAUGAGGACUGCACAUUUCCACCAUAGUUCACCACCAUACAUCAGGAAAGAAUGACAGCAUGAACGCUCACUAAACACAAGCAUACAAUACAUAUAUGUUUUUUUACACUGGAAUUUUUUUUAAUCUUUUUUCUUUUUUUUUCCAGAGUGAAAGGGAAGUGAUAGCUCAUCAUAGGAUCAUACAUUUUCAGUUACAAUAUUACAGUGUUAGUUAGAUCAUCAUGUCAAAGCCAGACACAAAGUGUUUUCUUUUUUUUUUUUCUUUUUUUUCUUGCUUUGCUUUUUCUUAAAAGCAAAAAUCAUAGUUGAUAAAAAGAAAAAUAAUAAACUUGCGUUGAAAGGUAUCACACUAUAGCAUUUACAAAUAUCUAAAGAGGUUUAGUGGAUGCCAUACAACAUCUGUGGAGCGUGAAGAUUGUAGUACAUAGAUGUUUGGCUGACAGAAGUACAUAGAAAUAUCUCCUGUGCAAGUAAUGAAGAGAAAUGAUGAUACAAAAGAAUAAAAUCAUAGCCAUCUAUCUAUUUAUAUAUAUAUUUCUCUAUAUAGUAUGUGUUUCCUUAGAGCAGUACAUGCAGCAGCCACUUAAUGGAGUGACGUCAUACAGAGCCGCAAAACUUUGGGGACGUGGCAACAAGUUACAGGCGGGAAGGGGUACCAGCAUUAGCAGGUCUUGAGUAACACCCCAUUGUCAAGACCUCCUGAGAGAGGAUUGGUGGGAUACAGCUGAAGGAUGGGAUCCCGUAGAUGCCUGUAUUUUUAGCAGGUGUCAAUUACUAAUGUAGAGACUAUCUAUGAAAAGUCUACACUACAUUUACAGUGUACAUAAAAGCUAAAAUGUGACUGGAUGAUCCUACACAAUCAAUUUGGAGAACAACCUUCUUCUCUUGUACAUGGAAGUGGCGGGCCAGCCCAUGGCACCUGUCACCUCACUUCCUUCCGGUCCUCAUCCCACCUGGUCCCCUCUCAUCUGUGGCAACAAACAGGAAAUGAACAGCGUACUGUUGUACUCACAAGUUAAAAGCACUGAACCAUUGUGCACUUAAAGAGACAUCUGAUAAGUGUUCAGGGUGUAGACCCCUCCAACCCCCCUGAGUGGGCUUCCCCUGGCCUCGUCCACAUUUCUCCAUGCUGUUCUCAGCAUACCACAAUGUUCAGAGCAGCAGGGUCUGCAGGGGGUCUGUGCAAGGGUUAGGUAUAGAAUCUGAGGGUGAAUGGAGGUGGGCGUGACAAGUAAAAUGCAUUUAAAGCUAUGAGGAAGAAAAAAAUGCCAGAGAAUGUGAUUGUGAAUCUCUUCAGAUAGGACAGAUCAAGUCCACAAC